CUGCCUACGGGACGCAGCAAUGAGGAAUAUUGGUCAAUGGGCGCAGGCCUGAACCAGCCAAGCCGCGUGAGGGAGGAAGGUACAGAGUAUCGUAAACCUCUUUUGUCAGGGAACAAAGGCGGGGACGUGUCCCUGGAUGAGUGUACCUGAAGAAAAAGCAUCGGCUAACUCCGUGCCAGCAGCCGCGGUAAUACGGAGGAUGCGAGCGUUAUCCGGAUUUAUUGGGUUUAAAGGGUGCGCAGGCGGUCUGUUAAGUCAGCGGUCAAAGCCCGGGGCUCAACCCCGGCCCGCCGUUGAAACUGGCG
This 305-nucleotide ribosomal RNA is filed under the name uncultured bacterium. RNAcentral describes it as "bacterial SSU rRNA". It matches the Rfam family "Bacterial small subunit ribosomal RNA", at positions 335 to 638 of the family's 1533-position model. The record is from RNAcentral.